UAGGGAAUCUUCCGCAAUUGGCGAAAGCCUGACGGAGCAACGCCGCGUGAGUGAUGAAGGUCUUCGGAUCGUAAAACUCUGUUAUUAGGGAAGAACAAAUGUGCAAGUAACUAUGCACGUCUUGACGGUACCUAAUCAGAAAGCCACGGCUAACUACGUGCCAGCAGCCGCGGUAAUACGUAGGUGGCAAGCGUUAUCCGGAAUUAUUGGGCGUAAAGCGCGCGUAGGCGGUUUUUUAAGUCUGAUGUGAAAGCCCACGGCUCAACCGUGGAGGGUCAUUGGAAACUGGAAAACUUGAGUGCAGAAGAGAAAAGUGGAAUUCCAUGUGUAGCGGUGAAAUGCGCAGAGAUAUGGGGGAACACCAGUGGCGAAGGCGACUUUCUGGUCUGUAACUGACGCUAAUGUGCGACAGCGUGGGGAUCAAACAGG
Molecule: ribosomal RNA, 429 nt
Filed under: Acidobacteriota bacterium
Lineage: Bacteria; Pseudomonadati; Acidobacteriota
Description: Acidobacteria bacterium partial 16S ribosomal RNA
Rfam family: Bacterial small subunit ribosomal RNA
Source: RNAcentral